This 490-nucleotide ribosomal RNA is filed under the name uncultured bacterium. RNAcentral describes it as "bacterial SSU rRNA". It matches the Rfam family "Bacterial small subunit ribosomal RNA", at positions 28 to 529 of the family's 1533-position model. The record is from RNAcentral.
GAUGAACGCUGGCGGCGUGCCUCAUACAUGCAAGUCGAACGGGUCUGAUUGAGUAGCAAUAUUUAGUCAGGCUAGUGGCGAACGGGUGAGUAACACGUAGCUAACCUGCCCCCUAGUCUGGGAUAACGGUUCGAAAGGAACGCUAAUACCGCAUAUUCUGUGAGCAGGAAAGCAGGGGAUCGCAAGACCUUGCGCUGAUUGAGCGGCCGAUAUCAGAUUAGCUAGUUGGUGAGGUAAAGGCUCACCAAGGCGACGAUCUGUAGCGGGUCUGAGAGGAUGAUCCGCCACACUGGAACUGAGACACGGUCCAGACUCCUACGGGAGGCAGCAGUGGGGAAUUUUGGACAAUGGGGGCAACCCUGACGCAGCCAUGCCGCGUGAACGAUGAAGGCCUUAGGGUUGUAAAGUUCUUUUACCCGUGACGAUGAUGACGGUAACGGGGGAAUAAGCUCCGGCUAACUUCGUGCCAGCAGCCGCGGUAAAUCUCGCG